ACGGAAGGCCGCAGAGGGGAAUAUUGGGCAAUGGGCGCAAGCCUGACCCAGCAAUGCCGCGUGAAGGAAGAAGGCUUUCGGGUUGUAAACUUCUUUUAAGUGGGACGAUAAUGACGGUACCACUUGAAUAAGCUCCGGCUAACUACGUGCCAGCAGCCGCGGUAAUACGUAGGGAGCAAGCGUUAUCCGGAUUUACUGGGUGUAAAGGGCGUGUAGGCGGGACUGCAAGUCAGAUGUGAAAGCACGAGGCUCACAAAAGUGUCUGCAUUUGAAACUGUAGUUCUUGAGUGUUGGAGAGGCUAACGGAACUCCUAGUGUAGCGGUGAAAUGCGUAGAUAUUAGGAAGAACACCAGUGGCGAAGGCGGUUAGCUGGACAAUAACUGACGCUGAGGCGCGAAAGCGUGGGUAGCAAACAGGAUUAGAUACCCUGGUA
RNAcentral lists this ribosomal RNA (434 nucleotides) under uncultured Oscillospiraceae bacterium. Its description in RNAcentral is "bacterial SSU rRNA". It matches the Rfam family "Bacterial small subunit ribosomal RNA", at positions 341 to 792 of the family's 1533-position model. Lineage: Bacteria; Bacillati; Bacillota; Clostridia; Eubacteriales; Oscillospiraceae. The record is from RNAcentral.